RNAcentral lists this ribosomal RNA (585 nucleotides) under Triticum aestivum (bread wheat). Its description in RNAcentral is "partial small subunit ribosomal RNA". The record is from RNAcentral. Lineage: Eukaryota; Viridiplantae; Streptophyta; Magnoliopsida; Poales; Poaceae.
AUGCCUCAGCCCCCCGAACUCGCCGCCGUCGUCAGUCGCGCAAACUUCGAUUUGGGCACCUUGGGCAGCGACAGCCCCCCGAGAUCGUUGUACGUGGAUUGCUGGAACGACCUCCUUCUCCUCACAUCCUUCGUGGACACCAGCGAACCCAAACGAAUUGUGCGCUGCCCCCUGUAUCCUGAGAGAUGUAUGACCAUCCUCCCACCAGUUCCCGACACCAGCCUCCAGGAUGGCUUCACAUACUACGAACGUGAGAUCAUCCUCAACGGUGGAGGCGAUGGCCUGUCCUUCAUCUAUUUGGGAGGGAGUAUAAGGCAGCAGACAGUUGUGCAUGUGUAUGUGUUACAAGUUGAUAUCUGGGCAAUCUAUUUUUCGGCUGUAAGUGAAUUAACUAGCAUCUCACUACAAUUCCCUAGUUUGAUUAGUGACGGGAAGAUCUAUAAUCUGGCCUCCGUGUGCGAGAUUGUAGAAAAGUUGUUCAUGCUAGAUCUUGCGUGGCAGGCUAUCACAUGCCGACGAUUUCGGGGUUCAUCUAACCCGUGUGAAGGACUUUCAGAUUCGCAUUUGGCUUCACACGAUGGAUAG